UCAUUCAUUUCGUAAACUUUUACUUAAACUUUUCUCCCAAAUUCUCUCUUAAUUCAAUUGGAAUCCAUUCUUUCUUUGAAAUUUCUUCGUGUGACUCUUUCUCCUAGAAUUGUCUACAUCAUAUUCUUUCUUCAUUCUACUCUUUUCUUUCUCUGAUAUACCGAAACCGCAAUGGUGCAUCUUGCACGCCCAAGUUCCUAUCAUUAGAGAUGUUUUUAUUAGUCCAUGCAAAGUUUCAUCUUAAUUUUGAUGCUAGCGACAAAGUUACUUCUACCCAGUAUGAUCUUGUUUUCCCCCCUCUAUCAUAUAUCACUCCAAGUAACACAAAAUUAACGUAACCAGCAUUAAGCAAUCCCAUAUCUUUUACUUUCUUUAAGACGGGUCAACAUUCAAACAUUAUCAUAAACAACGACUGCAAUUUCAAUUCUAUCACGAAAUCUUCCUACACGCUUCCAUUGUCCCAUUAUUUAGCAAUUCUCAUUAAUUACCUAAACCUUCAUUUUAACAUUGACAUGAUGAUUUAGAUUGAAACUUGCACUCGGGUGGGACUGAACCUAACUAGUAAUCUUAGGAAAUGAAAUAAGCACCAACACCACAUUAAUAUCUAAAACAGAAGACAACAUAUGCAACAACGCACUGAAAACAACCUAAAUAUGAAUAUGAGAUUUGAAGGCAUAACGAUAUAUAACAAAGAUAAAAAUGAAAGCUAUUUUCAAAUUCAUCACGAAGAUGGAGACGAUUAUGCAUAAUAGAUUACAUGAUAAGGGGACAAGAAAUUAAAUAAUUUGGUAGAGGAAAGGAGCUACAGAGAAUAAGAACAAAUAGGAGGUUAUGAACACAGUGAUAGUCGGGAAAAUCCGGUGUUGAAGUAGGUAAAAUUAGUGGGAAAAGUCCCAUAUUAGAGUUGAGAAAACUGCUCACCAAAAUUUCAAUUGAGAGAAAGUUUAUUCUAUUUUACAC
RNAcentral lists this long non-coding RNA (960 nucleotides) under Vigna radiata. RNAcentral describes it as "long non-coding RNA (VRAD_LNC012724)". Lineage: Eukaryota; Viridiplantae; Streptophyta; Magnoliopsida; Fabales; Fabaceae. The record is from RNAcentral.